AGUGAACGCUGGCGGUAGGCCUAACACAUGCAAGUCGAACGGCAGCACAGUAAUAGCUUGCUCUUACGGGUGGCGAGUGGCGGACGGGUGAGGAAUACAUCGUAAUCUACUUUUUCGUGGGGGAUAACGUAGGGAAACUUACGCUAAUACCGCAUACGACCUACGGGUGAAAGCAUGGGAUCUUCGGACCUUGCGCGAUUGAAUGAGCCGAUGUCGGAUUAGCUAGUUGGCGGGGUAAAGGCCCACCAAGGCGACGAUCCGUAGCUGGUCUGAGGGGAGGAUAAGCCACACUGGAACUGAGACACGGUACAGAGACUGAGGGGAGGCAGAGGUGGGGAAUAUUGGAAAAUGGGGGCAAGCCUGAUCAAGCCAUACCGCGUGGGUGAAGAAGGCCUUCGGGUUGUAAAGCCGUUUUGUUGGGAAAGAAAAGCAGCAGGUUAAUACCCCGCUGUUCUGACGGUACCCAAAGAAUAAGCACCGGCUAACUUGGU
This 491-nucleotide ribosomal RNA is filed under the name uncultured bacterium. Its description in RNAcentral is "partial 16S ribosomal RNA". It matches the Rfam family "Bacterial small subunit ribosomal RNA", at positions 29 to 506 of the family's 1533-position model. The record is from RNAcentral.